AUGCAUUUGAAUACUAAUUCGAUUGCUUUGUUGGUGAAGCUUCUGCAAGGAUUCUUGAGUUUUUGCGCGCGUUUGAAAAGGCGACAGACCUCCUCCGUUUGGUAUCCCUUGAGAUCUCUUUUCUAUCUCAUUCUUGCAUCACUUUCAAUCAAUCUUGCCAUGAGAAGUCGAAUAGAGAUGCAUAACUGGAAGUCCUACCGUUGUAGACAAUGUUUGAUCUGA
This is a non-coding RNA of Vicia faba (fava bean), 222 nucleotides long. NCBI's taxonomy places the organism in Eukaryota, Viridiplantae, Streptophyta, Magnoliopsida, Fabales, Fabaceae. The record is from the annotation of a GenBank genome assembly.